UGGGGAAUAUUGCACAAUGGAGGGAACUCUGAUGCAGCGACGCCGCGUGAACGAAGAAGGCUUUCGAGUCGUAAAGUUCUUUUAUAUGGGAAGAUAAUGACGGUACCAUAAGAAAAAGCCCCGGCUAACUACGUGCCAGCAGCCGCGGUAAUACGUAGGGGGCUAGCGUUGUCCGGAAUCACUGGGCGUAAAGGGUUCGCAGGCGGAAAUGCAAGUCAGGUGUAAAAGGCAGUAGCUUAACUACUGUAAGCAUAUGAAACUGCAUAUCUUGAGAAGAGUAGAGGUAAGUGGAAUUUUUAGUGUAGCGGUGAAAUGCGUAGAUAUUAAAAAGAAUACCGGUGGCGAAGGCGACUUACUGGGCUCAUUCUGACGCUGAGGAACGAAAGCGUGGGUAGCAAACAGG
Molecule: ribosomal RNA, 403 nt
Filed under: Fusobacteriota bacterium
Lineage: Bacteria; Fusobacteriati; Fusobacteriota
Description: Fusobacteria bacterium partial 16S ribosomal RNA
Rfam family: Bacterial small subunit ribosomal RNA
Source: RNAcentral